Molecule: ribosomal RNA, 337 nt
Filed under: Microascus trigonosporus
Lineage: Eukaryota; Fungi; Ascomycota; Sordariomycetes; Microascales; Microascaceae
Description: eukaryotic LSU rRNA
Rfam family: Eukaryotic large subunit ribosomal RNA
Source: RNAcentral
GUAGUUUGGGAAUGCUGCUCAAAAUGGGAGGUAAACCCCUUCUAAAGCUAAAUACCGGCCAGAGACCGAUAGCGCACAAGUAGAGUGAUCGAAAGAUGAAAAGCACUUUGAAAAGAGAGUUAAAAAGCACGUGAAAUUGUUGAAAGGGAAGCGCUUGCGACCAGACUCGCGCCCGUCGGAUCAGCCGUCGCUCGUCGGCGGCGCACUCCGGCGGGCUCGGGCCAGCAUCAGUUCGCCUCGGGGGGAGAAAGGCGGCGGGAAUGUGGCUCUACGGAGUGUUAUAGCCCGCCGCGUAAUACCCCCGGGCGGACUGAGGACCGCGCGUAUGCAAGGAUGC